This 494-nucleotide ribosomal RNA is filed under the name uncultured bacterium. RNAcentral's name for it is "partial 16S ribosomal RNA". It matches the Rfam family "Bacterial small subunit ribosomal RNA", at positions 28 to 507 of the family's 1533-position model. The record is from RNAcentral.
GACGAACGCUGGCGGCGUGCUUAACACAUGCAAGUCGAACGGUGAAGCGCCUUCCUUUUUGGUGGGUGUGGAUGAGUGGCGAACGGGUGAGUAACACGUGAGUAACCUGCCCCCUUCUUCUGGAUAACCGCAUGAAAGUGUGGCUAAUACGGGAUAUUCUGUGUCUGUCGCAUGAUGGGUCUUUGAAAGAUAUUGUUUCGGUGUGGGAUGGGCUCGCGGCCUAUCAGCUUGUUGGUGGGGUGAUGGCCUACCAAGGCGGUGACGGGUAGCCGGCCUGAGAGGGUGGACGGUCACACUGGGACUGGGACACGGCCCAGACUCCUACGGGAGGCAGCAGUGGGGAAUAUUGCACAAUGGGAGCAAGCCUGAUGCAGCGACGCCGCGUGAGGGAUGGAGGCCUUCGGGUUGUGAACCUCUUUCGCCAGUGAAGCAGGCCUGCCUCGUUUGUGGGUGGGUUGACGGUAGCUGGAUAAGAAGCGCCGGCUAACUACGUG